Non-coding RNA from Gigantopelta aegis, 76 nucleotides. NCBI's taxonomy places the organism in Eukaryota, Metazoa, Mollusca, Gastropoda, Neomphalida, Peltospiridae. The record is from the annotation of a RefSeq genome assembly.
GAUGGGAUAGCUCAAUUGGUUGAGAGAGCAUUGGCUUUCUAUGCCAAAGAUUUUGGUUCAAAUCCAGAGCCCAUCA